This 240-nucleotide long non-coding RNA is filed under the name Brassica napus (rape). RNAcentral describes it as "long non-coding RNA (BNAP_LNC024239)". Lineage: Eukaryota; Viridiplantae; Streptophyta; Magnoliopsida; Brassicales; Brassicaceae. The record is from RNAcentral.
UGAGGUUUAUCUAAGUUCUAGGAACCAAGCCAAGCAUUGUAGAGUCAAUCCGUUCUAUUCUCAGUUAUGAUUAAUGCUUAUAUGGUUAUGGUCAAUCCGUUCUAUUCUCGGUUAUGAUUAAUGCUUAUCUGGUUGUGGUUUCAGGAACUAAGGAUGGUUCUGGUCAAGCCAAGGAGCCGUGAAGGCUCGGGCAGUGAGAGGCUGUGUAACGUGUGGUUAGAUGAUACUAGGGAUGAACUA